GUASSCGUGCGAGCGUUAAUCGGAAUUACUGGGCGUAAAGCGUGCGCAGGCGGUUCUCCAAGUCCGUUGUGAAAGCCCCGGGCUCAACCUGGGAAUGGCAGUGGAAACUAGGGGACUGGAAUCUGGCAGAGGGGGGUGGAAUGCCGCGUGUAGCAGUGAAAUGCGUAGAGAUGCGGCGGAACACCGAUGGCGAAGGCAGCCCCCUGGGCUGAGAUUGACGCUCAGGCACGAAAGCGUGGGGAGCAAACAGGAUUAGAUACCCUGGUAGUCCACGCCCUAAACGAUGGCAACUAGGUGUUGGGGAAGCGAUUUCCUGGUACCGCAGCUAACGCGUGAAGUUGCCCGCCUGGGGAGUGCGGUCGCAAGAUUA
RNAcentral lists this ribosomal RNA (370 nucleotides) under uncultured bacterium. RNAcentral describes it as "bacterial SSU rRNA". It matches the Rfam family "Bacterial small subunit ribosomal RNA", at positions 526 to 896 of the family's 1533-position model. The record is from RNAcentral.